GAUCUAAAUCUGCAUUUACCGACUCUACUUCUAAUUAUAAUUCAACACGCGCACAGUGAAGCACCAAAAAACGCAACUGCACAACCCCAAUCAUUAUUAUACAUUUUUACAUGCUGCUGUGUGGACUACUGUGAUGAGUACUGUGCCCAAAUGCCCAAAACCAAAAGUGUUACAAAGUCCGGCCCAGCCCACAACAUUAAUUUCCAGUUUCCCUCACAUUGACGACACUGAAACGAUUUUAUAUUGUACUGCCCCGCAUUGAUGAUUAGCUUGUGCAGACACGUCUCCUGAAGCUAUCUCAUAUUUGUGAUAUUAACAUAUUUCCUGGAAAAUUAAUCACAAAAAAAUAAUUCUAAUCAAAUUACAUAAACAAAGCUUAUAAUUUUCCUUCGUAGGGGACUUUUCAACCUUAAUAUAAUCAUUCAAAAGUUUACAAAAAUUUGUUCAACUUGAUAAUAUAAUAUUACAACAAUACUGUACUAAAAUAUCGGGUUGUGUUAAGUACACACAUGCACCCACAUGCUAUAAUACUAUACCAAACUAUUGGGUUGUGUUUAGUACACACAUCUUUUCCAUAUCAAAAUAUUAUUGGCUUUAAAAUAUCACAGCCAUUUUAAGCAACAUAUCAACCUUGUGCUCUAUGCAAGAGCAUAUAAACAAAUGUUACCUUACGCUCACCUCUUGAGGACUUGAAAAUUGAAAUAUUAUGGGGUUCCUUUAGAAUUAGCUCUAGGGCUAGAAGUUUUGCUUCAACAGAAAGUCUCAUAGUUGCAAGUUCAUCAAAAAUGUCAAAACAAUCUUUUUUGUUAUGGAACAUGCAUUGAGCUAGUGUAUUCAUGUUGAGCUAAAGGGCAAAUUUUCUUCUUCUUUUCAUAUCUAAAAACAAAUAGAUAAAGCAUCAAUUACUAACAAACCCUAAAACAUGGAAAAAAAACUAAAAAACCAUUUACAGAACCCUAACCUCUUUUCCCAAUUGUCAGAUAAAAGUACUAGUGCUAGAAUGCACGGUAAAUAAAAUGUAAAUAUCAAAUCAGAAUUUUCAAAUAUCGUAAAUAGAAACAAAAAUAGAAACAAGUAGGUAUUGAUAUUUUUUUUUACCCAACAAACAUGUAAUUACAACUUUAUUACUUUACGCAUUUCCCAAUAAUAAUUCCUUUGUACCUAAAACCUCUUUUGCCUUAAUCAUCUUUAAUUUUGAAUGUUAAAGUGUUAAGAAUCUUUAUCUUAAUUGUUCCCUAGUGAUAUAGCAAAUAAUAUAUAUGUGCUUAUCAUAAUCAUCACUCAAUAUAAGCCUAGAUACAAGCCGCAUGGCUUUUUUAUUUUUUAUUUUUUCAAUUGGUCAAGUUAUGACCACAAAUAGAACCAAAUCAAUAAACAAAAUAUAAGCCGCAUGACAUUUUUCUUUUUUCUUUUUUUAAUUGGUCAAGUUAUGACCAUAACAGAACCAAAUCAACAAACUAAUGUCAACCAUUACACUUUUUUAGAAUGACUAAUGCACGAUAUUUAUUUGGUAUCUAAGCAAAAUCUGAGCAAAAUGUACCUGAAAAUGAAGGAGAACCCAGAAAACUUAUGAAAAUCUUUGAUAGGAACUCGGGAGCAAGACCAAAUUUUCUCUAAAAUUAAUGUGGAUCUGGUUAAUAUUUGAAUGCUUAAUAAAGGUUUGCUAAAGUUAAGUGCUGAAAUUACCUAUAACAAAAGGAUUUGGUAAAAGUUGUCUGCGAAUUUGUUUUUAGAAGCCAAGAAGAAGAUGAUAUGGGUUGUGGGUUCUUUUACUUUUCUUUUAGUUU
This 1787-nucleotide long non-coding RNA is filed under the name Citrus maxima (pomelo). RNAcentral's name for it is "long non-coding RNA (CMAX_LNC003056)". Lineage: Eukaryota; Viridiplantae; Streptophyta; Magnoliopsida; Sapindales; Rutaceae. The record is from RNAcentral.